GGCGGUUUGUGACUUCUAAGCUUUGGCUGUUAAGCGCUGAGCCGUUAAGAGGGUGUGUAGUGCUAGUUUCCACUUAUGACUCGGUAGAGCCUUAGGUAAGUCUGGUAGGAGUAAGAUGUGUGGUUGGAACGGGAGAGAUACAUUUGCAAUUUCUAAGAGGAAUUUAUGGAUCGAAGUCCACAGUGGUAAUAUGUGUUCGCUCUCCC
Pelobates cultripes (western spadefoot toad) is the source of this 206-nucleotide non-coding RNA. NCBI's taxonomy places the organism in Eukaryota, Metazoa, Chordata, Amphibia, Anura, Pelobatidae. The record is from the annotation of a GenBank genome assembly.